UGAUGACGAGACGCUAAGGCGUUGAAGCAGUGUAUGUCAGACUUCCAAGAAAAGCUCGCAAUGUCACAAAUAAAAAUGCCUGUACCAUAACCGACACAGGUGGGUAGGUAGAGUAUACUAAGGGGCGCGAGAUAACUCUCUCUAAGGAACUCGGCAAAAUGACUCCGUAACUUCGGGAGAAGGAGUGCCUUAUUUAUAAGGUUGCAAUAACAAGAUCCAAGCAACUGUUUAUCAAAAACACAGGUCUCCGCUAAGUCGUAAGACGAUGUAUGGGGGCUGACGCCUGCCCAGUGCCAGAAGGUUAAAGAAGUUGGUUAGUGUAUGCGAAGCUGAUGACUGAAGCCCUGGUGAACGGCGGCCGUAACAAUAACGGUCCUAAGGUAGCGAAAUUCCUUGUCGGGUAAGUUCCGACCCGCACGAAAGGCGUAAUGAUUUGGAUACUGUCUCGGAGAGAGGCUCGGUGAAAUAGACUUGUCUGUGAAGAUGCGGACUACCUGCACCAGGACAGAAAGACCCUAUGAAGCUUUACUGUAACUUGAAAUUGGAAUUGGACUUUGCUUGCGCAGUAUAGGUGGGAAGCGUUGAAAAUAUUCUUGCGGGAGUAUUGGAGCUAUCAGUGAGAUACCACUCUUGUAAUGUUAGAUUUCUAACUUUGAACCAUAAUCUGGUCAAAGAACAGUUUCAGGUGGGCAGUUUGACUGGGGCGGUCGCCUCCCAAAUGGUAACGGAGGCGUACAAAGGUUUCCUCUGAACGGAUAGAAAUCGUAUCUAGAGUGUAAAGGCAUAAGGAAGCUUGACUGUGAGACCUACAAGUCGAGCAGGGACGAAAGUCGGUCUUAGUGAUCUGACGGUACUGAGUGGAAAGGCCGUCACUCAACGGAUAAAAGUUACUCUAAGGAUAACAGGCUGAUCUCCCCCAAGAGUUCACAUCGACGGGGAGGUUUGGCACCUCGAUGUCGGCUCAUCGCAUCCUGGGGCGGUAGUACGUCCCAAGGGUUGGGCUGUUCGCCCAUGAAAGCGGUACGCGAGCUGGGUUCAGAACGUCGUGAGACAGUUCGGUCCAUAUCCGGUGUAGGCGCUAGAAUAUUGAGAGGAGCCUUCUUUAGUACGAGAGGACCGAGAAGGACACACCGCUGGUGUACCGGUUAUCGUGCCAACGGUAAACGCUGGGUAGCUAUGUGUGGAGUGGAUAACCGCUGAAAGCAUCUAAGUGGGAAGCCCACCUCGAGAUGAGUAUUCUCAUC
This 1244-nucleotide ribosomal RNA is filed under the name metagenome. RNAcentral's name for it is "bacterial LSU rRNA". It matches the Rfam family "Bacterial large subunit ribosomal RNA", at positions 1564 to 2818 of the family's 2925-position model. The record is from RNAcentral.